CAAUAGCGUAUAUUAAAGUUGUUGCAGUUAAAAAGCUCGUAGUUGGAUUUGUGGCGUACGGUGUGUUCCGGGCACUUGUUGUCUGAGUAACCUGCUGUUGCCAUCCUUGGGUGGAACCUGUGUUGCAUUAGGUUGUCGUGCAGGGGAUGCCCAUCAUUUACUGUGAAAAAAUUAGAGUGUUCAAAGCAGGCUUAUGCCGUUGAAUAUAUUAGCAUGGAAUAAUGAGAUAGGACUUUUUUGCUAUUUUGUUGGUUUGCGCAAAGAGGUAAUGAUUAAUAGGGACAGUUGGGGGUAUUCGUAUUCCAUUGUCAGAGGUGAAAUUCUUGGAUUUUUGGAAGACGAACUACUGCGAAAGCAUUUACCAAGGAUGUUUUCAUUAA
Molecule: ribosomal RNA, 380 nt
Filed under: uncultured eukaryote
Lineage: Eukaryota
Description: partial 18S ribosomal RNA
Rfam family: Eukaryotic small subunit ribosomal RNA
Source: RNAcentral